Magnolia sinica is the source of this 233-nucleotide long non-coding RNA. RefSeq lists it as uncharacterized. The record is from RefSeq and is a predicted model, not a curated record. The transcript has 2 exons. NCBI's taxonomy places the organism in Eukaryota, Viridiplantae, Streptophyta, Magnoliopsida, Magnoliales, Magnoliaceae.
UAGAGUGGCAAGCAUGCUUAAUUACUUCUUGUGGAUGAUCUGGAGGUUGCGUGGAUCGACUGGGAAGUGACUGAAAUCCAUGGCCACCAUGCCACGAUCAUUACAACUAAUGAGAAAACAAUUUUAUAGGUGAUGUUGCUUGCACAUUUCAGGCGAUUGAUGCGAGAGUUUACACAUAUGCAUGACCAAGCUGCUCAUCCAACCUGAUUCUUGGACCAAGCAUAGGUUGUGGG